AACGAACGCUGGCGGCAUGCCUAACACAUGCAAGUCGAACGAUGCUUUCGGGCAUAGUGGCGCACGGGUGCGUAACGCGUGGGAAUCUGCCCUUGGGUUCGGAAUAACAGUGAGAAAUUGCUGCUAAUACCGGAUGAUGUCUUCGGACCAAAGAUUUAUCGCCCAGGGAUGAGCCCGCGUAGGAUUAGCUAGUUGGUGGGGUAAUGGCCUACCAAGGCGACGAUCCUUAGCUGGUCUGAGAGGAUGAUCAGCCACACUGGGACUGAGACACGGCCCAGACUCCUACGGACGACAGCAGUGGGGAAUAUUGGACAAUGGACGCAAACCUAAUCCAGCAAUGCCGCGUGAGUGAUGAAGGCCUUAGGGUUGUAAAGCACUUUUACCCGGGAUGAUAAUGACAUUACCGGGAGAAUAAGCUCCGGCUAACUCCGUG
This 433-nucleotide ribosomal RNA is filed under the name uncultured bacterium. RNAcentral describes it as "partial 16S ribosomal RNA". It matches the Rfam family "Bacterial small subunit ribosomal RNA", at positions 29 to 507 of the family's 1533-position model. The record is from RNAcentral.